This is a non-coding RNA of Paramuricea clavata, 222 nucleotides long. NCBI's taxonomy places the organism in Eukaryota, Metazoa, Cnidaria, Anthozoa, Malacalcyonacea, Plexauridae. The record is from the annotation of a GenBank genome assembly.
UGCAUUAAUCUAUGGCAAUGGCAGCAAUGGUUUCCAAUCCCCUUUGAGACGCGGUCUUAAAGUUCAAGAUCGAAAUUAAUCCAAAAACGUGCAAAAAGAAUGUAAAUUUUUAAGAUGGUGUUUAGUUCAGGAGCAAAAAAAGAAGUAGAACUGUUACCUGAAGCUGUUCAAGCACGGAUUAAAAGUACUGUGAGAUAUGCAAAGAUCUGGUAAGCAUAGUUU